This 373-nucleotide long non-coding RNA is filed under the name Setaria italica (foxtail millet). RNAcentral's name for it is "long non-coding RNA (SITA_LNC006247)". The record is from RNAcentral. Lineage: Eukaryota; Viridiplantae; Streptophyta; Magnoliopsida; Poales; Poaceae.
AGCACUAGUCGAUCCAUGCUAACAUCGAUGGAUCAUAUAGGCACUAGCAUAAGCAUGGAAGGCAUCAGGAAUUAGUUGCGGCCUUCUGAUGAUGAGUAUUGCGUUACGAGUAGCUUGCAAGCAUGGUAAGGCCUGCAAAUUAGUUGUAUCGAUGGUGAAUCUAGUUGAUAGCACUAAUCACCAUGCCUCCAUGAUAUGUUGCAUUGGCCUGCUUCAGUUCUUUAUGUGUAAUUAGCAAAGACCACAUUUUCGUGGAUUCAUACGCCAGUGGUUUCUAGAUAGUUUUCGGCCCCUAGAUCAGGCUGUCCUCCUGCCUAUAUUGUCAAACUUGUUCACGAACCUGUGGAUGGCUGCUUAAUUCUACUGAUUCUUG